AAAAAUGAUUCUGGAGUCUAAGAACCAGCUGCAGGAAUGCACAGCAUAUCACCAGUAGUUAAAAUGAUGGAUUAAGUCCCCAGUCCACAAUUAAUCCCAGUUUUGGACACAUGUCUGAGAAAAAUAUGCCCAGUGUGCUUUGGGGUGGAUUUUUCUUUUAACCACAUAUCCAACUGCAUAUCCAAGAAUCAUUUUUGCUCUCUUGCAACAGAAUCUACUGCACUCGGAACGCAGUUUUCCAAAGUAAGAAUCGGCAUCAACUAACAGUUACAGUUCUCCUCGUCCAUCGUAAGCUGUGCUGUUUCUUCUCGACACAUUUGUACAAGCGCUGCUAAGAGGUCUGUUGAAAUGUGCAUUUCCUCUGACGUGGAGCGUGAUGCCAAGUUUUUUAAAUGUCAAAGUGUUUGUGACAAGCAGUCACUCAGGAGCAGGUUGGCUUUGAAAGCAGAGCUGAGUACAGGUCUUAAAGGCCAGACACGCCUCUGGAAUGAUGCUGAUCUGCAGCAAUCAACACAACAGACUCCUUCACUCGCUGCUGUUUAACAGCAUUAAAGAAAUGUGGACGUGCCAGGGUAUUUUGGCACAAAUCACAAACUAAUAAUGCCCUCCAAGGAUAAAAAGUUAUUUGAACAUUUUUCCAGUAGGCUUUGAUUAUUUUUACGGGGCCGAAUAAGUGAUUACAUAAAGUUGUUCAAUCAGUGGAAUCAAGAGUGCCUUUUUGAAGACUCUAAUCUUGAAUUUGAAGACACAAUCUCAAAUCUAGUGCUCAAGGGUUGGUUUCUUAAUCAAGUAUAAUCUAACAACCUGGUUGAAAUUACAAAGUAGCUUGAAGAGUGGCAUUUUUCCUUCAAAGAAAACGUUGUGAGAUUCGGGUCAAAUUUGUAGGUUUAAAAUUCACAGCCCCACCCUCCUGUUACCUUGCUUGAUUAGGUUACACCGUGAGAGGCACACAGGCACACGUUUUUUUAUUUUCCUUACCCAGCAGGCCCUCUUUGCUGGUGUGCAUCUCAGCCCUCCUUACAGACAGAUAGAUGCAGUGGUCUGAGGAGGUGGAUGGGAGUGCAACGGUGAAAUCUAAGUGAAGUGGAGAAGAAUAAAGGCCGCCGAAGGUCGCCUUCCCCACCCCCACGAUACGGUUAAACAUGAGGCUUUUAUUGAGAUGAUGCUGAAAUUCACUUCAGAACUCUACAUUACUUUACUGCUGAUCUGAAGCUUUUAGGUACAAUUGGGGGGGGAUGAAAAUGCAAUUUCGGGCUUUGUGAAGGAACUCUGAGGUGCUCUUGUGUGUUGCCAUGACAAUCUUGCAGCAUCGUUCCCGUGUGGAGGUGUGUCUGGCCCUUUACAGCCACUUACAUGGACCAGCUGGUCUCUGUUCCUCUGAACUCAGAACCAACUCUGCUGACACCUGUUCACAAAGAUUUAGGGUCUAAUUUGGAUAUUUUAGUACAACUUAAGCAGUGCGGCAGAUUCAUUUGCUUUUGUCUAGUGUACUUUGUGUUGAGGGAAAUGCUACUGGACUAAGACACGAUGCUACAGACCACAAAGAUUGAAAUUGUUGCUACCUCAGUCUGUCAUGUCUGUAGCAAACUAUUCAGAUGCAGAGAAGUCUGCUGCACAAGGCUGACUUGAAAACUGAAGCGUAUUUCCUCUUAGGUAGUUAAACUCAUUUUUCAUUCGUUCCCAGGCUGUACAUCCAUGUGAAUCUUCAUCAGCCCUUUUCAGGGACCUCUGGUGAAGUUAAAUGCUGCAUAGAGGAUUUUAUCAGGCUGUUGGUUUUUUCCUUACAGAAAAUGUGUCAGAUUUUGACUUUCCUAUCUAUAAAAAGUUUCCAGUGAUGCUCUGUCAUGCCGGCGCGUCCCUUUACACACUUCUCAGAAGACUAAUCAUCAACUUCUUGAUACCGUCACUUUUUGUCCCGUGGUUAUGUGUCAUUCUCACAGCAUCUUUGGUCAUUGGAGCGUGAGCGGUGCAGGGCUGACUGGGCCUCAUUUGUUCCCAGAGAGAUGGGGCGUUCCUGGGCCACUGCAGGUCUGUCACCUUUCUUCAGGCCUUUUCAUAAACGUCAUUUCCUUCUUCUUCUUCUGGUGUUCUGUUUUUAUUCUGGUAACUCUUCACAGAAGCUUUUCUUUUCUUGGGUUAACUGUGUACAUAUUUGUUUUUUAAAGACAGGGCUUGAGGCUCUUUUAGCAACAAGGAGAUCACUAUCCUCUGGAAUACUGAGUCUUUCUAGAAGGAAAGAAAACCCACUGAAAUUCUACGUAUGGGAUUUGGUUAACAUUUCAGCUGUAGUGUAAAUUUUAUGAACUCUCCCCAAAAUAUACUCCGUGUUUUAAAGGUUUGAUCUCUUGUUUUGAUGGUUCAGGGUAAUGAGCUCGGGCUUGGCUUUUGGUUUCUACGUUUAAAAAAGAGAGAGAGGGAGGGAGCAAGAAAAACAAGAAAAAAAAGUGAGCAGGUGUUGUGUUUUGUUGAAAUCGCCCGUGUGUUUUCCGUGAUCCUCUUGUAGCUUGUUUUUGCCGUCCUUCACGUUAUGACGUUCGCUUAAUUUGCCGUCUUUGACAGCCACGUACCUCCUCUGUUACUUUCGAGUUAUGAAGUCUACACUUCAUGCAGAUAACCACUGCAUUUUUAGUCAAGCUGAAGAACAACACUGGCUCAUGAGAUCGAUUGUCAGGUCAGACAGACUGGCACUUGCUGAGUGGAUAUUGGAGGUCAGUCGUCAGACAGGAAGUUUGGUGGGUGAGAUACAAAUUCCCAAACUGUAAAGAAGAUUAAAUGUCACGAGACCUCACACUCAUCUGGAAGCAAGAACAUCACUUGAAAGGGUAUUUUAUUGUUUUUGAUGAAUUCUGUACUUUGUUUUUUAGCCAAAUACUUUUCCAGUGCUUUAUAAACAGCAAGGAUUGUAAAUCUGAAUAACUCAUAGCAGGGGAGGCUCAUGCAGAGCUCGUUUAACAGCCCAGCUCGUUGGUUCUCUGGAGAUCUAACAAGACUCAGGCUGUUGCCUUCCCAAAUGUAAAAAUUACAGGACGCUGCUCCAUUAAAAACAAGAAGAGAAAAAAAUAAAACCGAACGAGCGCUUUGAAUCCACGUGCGGGAAAAAAUAACGCUGUGUUUGUUCUUUCAGUCUUUGAUGAUGCUCUUUUUUUUCAUCUUGGUGUUUUUGGUGAGCAAAAAUGUAAAAAAGAAAAAAACUUACAACACAGAAUACCUCAGACAAGAAAUCCAUGUAACCUUGACGACCUCCUUAUAUUGUCAGACCCUGUCCAUCAACACUCAUCUCUGGACACUUUCAUCUCCAUUUUUGUCAUUUUUCUUUGUUCCUCCUGCCAAAUGUAGUGCGUCGUAGCCGGUAAAGGUUCCACAACUUUGCUUUGUCUAUUUUUUUAAACACUAAUUUAGCUUCACAUUCCCACAUGUUCUAUUUUCUAAUUUGUCGACAUUCUUGGUCUUAAUCCUUUCACAGCCCACACUGCAUUGAGCUGUUGUUUUCAAGACGAUUUUAAACACUGCUAUUUCCCAGUGGUUCAGAAAGAUUCACAGAAGACAUUCUUUGAAUCCCCGUAAAAGAUGGAAGUUUAAAAAAACAGACUCUCCAGUCUUUUGUUUCUCCAAGUGGGUUUGCUGAUAGAAUGAAGGCCAAUGCUGUAUGUGAAACACUUGAAACCACACAUUCCCCACCUUGUUCCCUUUGCAUACCUCUUUAUCAACUUUUUAUUGUUGUUAAAACUGAAUGUAAGAAAAAAAACACAAACACAACAAACCUCUAAUUUAACUAUACAUAUUUAAGAAUAAAAGAAUACUCUAUAUGUGCACAUAGAUAUACCUAUACAAGCCCCACACAGACAUAAACACAAAUGCAUAUGUAUAUAAAAAUCUCUAAUGUCAUAUACUUUUAUCUUGAAAAGGAAGAGGAUGAGCCUUUUCCAUUGAUGAUUCAGGGAAACAAUACAGAAGUCCAGUGCAGUAUGUUAGGUGAAAUCGCUCCCACUCUGUCGCUUUUGGUGUUUGUUUUCUUACUCUGUUCUUGCUUGCUAUUUUCCCAUGAUGUAGCAUAGGGCAAAGGGGCAGGGCGGCUCGAGGUUGUUUUUGGUUUUUUUGUUAACAGACAAUGUAGUGAAACUAGGAUCUUGUGUAGUUGUAGUCUUUUUAGGCCUGAUUCUGUGAAAUGGGGGGAUGGGUGGGUAAGCGGAUGGGUCUCUUUUUUCUUUUUUUCCUGAAGCGGACACUGUAAAGACAGUAUAUGUAUGAAGAUGACUUAGAUAUGAAGUCACACUGGGUGGGUUGAAGGGCUGCAGGGAGGGUGAUGGCUUAUCUUCAGGAUGGUCGUGUAUAUAGAUCGGCUUUACCCAUCAGUCCUCGCCUGGUUUUUCACAGGUGGGUUGGAAUUGUAUACUGAAGGCACUGAGAAUGAACGCUUUUGCGUGUUUUUAUGUCUAGAAAAGAAAAGACUGUUUUAAAUGAAGGAAGUGGAGGGGUGAUGAACCCUGUUCAGGUUCUCCACAGAAGCCAACAGACAGCGAAGUUGUUAGAAAAAGCGGCUCCCUCGAAACACCGCUUUGCUGGGAGUGACGGAUGAUUUCGUGGACGUUGACGCUCUUGAUAUUUUUGCAUGCUGGUGUACAUACCCCUCAGUCCUUUUGUUUGAAGAGGCUGGUUAAUCCAAAAGCUCUCCUUUUCCUUUGGAUGUUGUCCGCAGGACAGAUUCGGAUGUUUUGAAUAUAAAAUAUAGCCCCCCGAGGGAAAAAAAAAAUCGCCUUUCAUAAGAAGGUGCACCUAAGGUGUUUGUUUGUCACUGCAACAGCUUUCGUAGUAGUUUUUGGCUAAAGCUCUUUUGCAAUCAUUCUGUUUUCCUUGUGUAAAGUAAUUUUUUUCAAGUGUAUGAGUGUGAAUGUGUGUGCCUAUGUAAGAAACGAUGUGCAAAGCUUGCUUCUUUCGAUUUCUUUUUUCCCCCUCAGUUCAACCAUGUUUUCGUCUCAGAGUUGUUUUUAAGGAACAUUAAUCUUUUUGUGCUCUUAUGGAAACUCAAUGAAACAGUGUGCAAGUUUGAAGAACUGCAUCUCUGUCUGUAAAAGAUGCUUCUCUCUGGGCACCUUACAGACCUAAAUUGCAUUACCCAGACACCCUCAGGGACCCUUGACAACACUGCUCUCACUCUUAUUCAGGUACUUAAUCUAUAUCGAGGCCUAGCAGUGAUCAACUUUAACUAUAGUUUAUUUCAUUAGCCUGUUCCUAUGAAAACGAAUUACAGCCAAAAUUUGAUCCGAAACAGUCUGUCUUGCCCUCUACUCAUGGAAUUACAUCUCGUUUUCUAGCCUUACAUGUCUCUUUUUGUAACCUCUGGAUAGGUUUAGUAUGUUCUGAAUGUUAGCUGUCUUCUCAGUUCAUAACUACUGAGUCUUUGUAAGCACCCUGUUCUCUCUCUGACUUGCGUUAAGUGCCAUGGCUUUUGCUCUGUGCAGUAAUCAGGAAUUGAUUAUUGUGUUGCUACGAAGCACUAACCUAACAGUGACUUACACCAAGCUAACCUCUUAAAAUAAACACGUCAGACAAGUGCACACAACAGUGGUUUGGCUUUAAAAUUGUCUUUAAAGCCGUCCACGGUCCUUUACAAAUGCUGGUUUAAAAACCAGAGAAGAUACAGUAAGCCAUCUUCAGGUAUCCCUCUGGUUUAAGUGCUAACUUUGUUUUUUUUCUCCACCAACUGUGGAGCCACACACAACAGAGAAAUGUGAUGGAUCUGCCUUCAGUUCUUCUAAAGCUUCAGGGAAAACCUAGUAACCCUCUCUACAAAGCUAAGCUGACUCUUAUGUCACCAAACCUGCGGCUGUGUUCAGGAACGAGGCGAGUCUAACUUGGGUACAAAUAUCUGCUGGGCAGUUUUCAGUGAUGUUGUGCACAUUUGUUCUGUGAUUUUGUUUUUUAAUUUCUGGGUUUUUUUUAAGACAGCCACUCAUCUCUGCUGUGAUUGGUUGAUGCCUCUGCUGGAUGUUAAGUGUUUGUGUUGCUUCGCACAGCUUGGCAGAUUCCAAUGUCUGUUUUAUGCUAAGAACUAGUCAUGCAAAGCAGUUAUUUAUUGGCCUGGUCUUGAUGACAGGAGUGUAGUAUACAUAUUGCCUAAAUUUUGUACCUCUUACAACAAUCACAUCACUGAUGUUUGGUGAGAACUAUGUAAAGCUGUAUUUCAUGUUAGAGCUCUUGCAAUUACUUUCUACAUUCCUAAUGUUGGUUUUGGUAGUAACCUGAUUUUGUUGUGAUAGAAAUAAAUCUGAUUGGUUUGGAAAAAGGCUUGUAAUAUUUGGUAGAUGCAAGAAGUGUUGUCCAGGGGUUUAGACUUUAGUUUGGAGAGAACAAAAAACCUCUUUUCUUGUUCUUGGUUUUUGUCCUGCUGAGGUUUCUAAGAUUUCGUAAUCUCACCUCGCUUCUUAACGGGUGGCUGGACGCCCCGAGACGGGGUCUGCUGGGCUUCUUUUUUUGUUUUCCUCUUUUCCACUGAGAUUUUGUUUUUUGGUUUGACGAUAUACCUCAUUCCUUCAGUCCAGCGGGCCCUCGGGGGGGGGGGCGCUGUGCCGAUGCUCAGGACGCUCAAGCCCCCUUUCACGGUUUGGUCCCACCUGGACUGUACCUCUCAUAAACACACAUACACACAUGCAUGCACACUUACAUACAGGUUCUCCAAAUACCCCGAUGGACCUCAUUUUUCAAUAUCUACUGUUUACAGUUUGACUAAGAAACUAAUUUAAAAUAUUUUCUCAUAUUGUAGUUUAAUUUAUGUACAAUGUACAAUUUGUUUUUCAUUUGUUUUCAUUCUAUUUUGUACGUUGUGAGUUGGACUUUUAUUCUUCUAGAUUUCUGUUAUUAAUGUCCAUGUAAAUGAGCACUUAACAAGGAUCACAAUAAUCGGUUUUAGUUUGACUGACACUUUUAUUUCCCCCCUUUCUUCCUGUUUUGAAUUCAAAAUCUGAUUUUUUGUUUGGGCUAAUGAAUAAAAAAUCAUCUCAUAAUGUCUGUGAUUUUUUUUUAUAUAAAAAGAUUAAAGAUGAUGAUUUGAGUUCCUUUGUUUUUUUGUUUGUUUUUUUACUUUAUUUUGCAUUGAAUAUCAGGCGACGCUGAUUAUAUCUGUCUUUGUGCAUGUGUAAAAUAUUUUACUGGUUAUGUUAUAUUCAAUUUGGUAAAAAAGGAAGAAAAAAAAGAAAAAAGAAAAUUGCCAUUUUUGCCACACAUUUCAGCUGUAAUGUUGUGUAAGGUAGUAUUCACUGGAUGCUAGAACCUUCUUUUCAAAACCACUAUUCUUCUAAUAAAUUUUGUUGUGAAAAUACCUCGAGUCUUGUCUGAGUUUGUGUUUUGUUUCAUAGGAACACCAUAACCUGCCCGUAUGCAAAGUACUGAUUCGAUGCAACAAGUACCAAGGCUGAGCUUUGAUCAAUGGACUGUCUUUAAAAAUUGCAUCACUCUUUUUACAGUUUCAGUAUCACAAGUCAGCAUCAUGCAAAUACUGGGAACCACCGUAACCUGCUAGUGACAAAAUCCAACACAAGGUUUUCAAUGUAGCAUCUCAUUUCUUUGAAAUCCAGUUUCACGACUGUCAACAACUUCCAGCGACCACUCACCAACUGGUAGCAGAACACACACUUUUCCCUAGUGAUGAGUGAUUGCCAGGGGCCCACUGACCAGUCUCUAGCCCUGCACGAAUGGGGCUUUAGCAUUCGAGAGCAAGCGUUCACCAACCAGUCAGGAAAACACAG
Molecule: long non-coding RNA, 7742 nt
Organism: Astatotilapia calliptera (eastern happy)
Lineage: Eukaryota; Metazoa; Chordata; Actinopteri; Cichliformes; Cichlidae
Source: Ensembl